UGAGUAACCUGCCCUUAACUCUGGGAUAAGCCUGGGAAACUGGGUCUAAUACCGGAUAUGACUCCUCAUCGCAUGGUGGGGGGUGGAAAGCUUUUUGUGGUUUUGGAUGGACUUGCGGCCUAUCAGCUUGUUGGUGAGGUAAUGGCUCACCAAGGCGACGACGGGUAGCCGGCCUGAGAGGGUGACCGGCCACACUGGGACUGAGACACGGCCCAGACUCCUACGGGAGGCAG
This 233-nucleotide ribosomal RNA is filed under the name uncultured bacterium. RNAcentral's name for it is "partial 16S ribosomal RNA". It matches the Rfam family "Bacterial small subunit ribosomal RNA", at positions 118 to 351 of the family's 1533-position model. The record is from RNAcentral.